RNAcentral lists this ribosomal RNA (571 nucleotides) under uncultured Methanosaeta sp. Its description in RNAcentral is "bacterial SSU rRNA". It matches the Rfam family "Archaeal small subunit ribosomal RNA", at positions 86 to 658 of the family's 1478-position model. The record is from RNAcentral. Lineage: Archaea; Methanobacteriati; Methanobacteriota; Methanomicrobia; Methanotrichales; Methanotrichaceae.
CUGCUCAGUAACACGUGGAUAACCUACCCUUGAGACGGGGAUAAACCCGGGAAACUGGGUAUAAUACCCGAUAGAUCUCGACUGCUGGAAUGCAUCGAGCUUGAAAGCUCCGGCGCUCAAGGAUGGGUCUGCGGCCUAUCAGGUAGUAGUGGGUGUAGCGUACCUACUAGCCUACGACGGGUACGGGUUGUGAGAGCAAGAGCCCGGAGAUGGAUUCUGAGACACGAAUCCAGGCCCUACGGGGUUCAGCAGGCGCGAAAACUUUACAAUGCUGGAAACAGCGAUAAGGGGACCUCGAGUGCCAGGUUACAAAUCUGGCUGUCGUGAUGCCUAAAAAGCAUUGCAUAGCAAGGGCCGGGCAAGACCGGUGCCAGCCGCCGCGGUAACACCGGCGGCUCGAGUGGUAACCGUUAUUAUUGGGUCUAAAGGGUCUGUAGCCGGCCGGAUAAGUCUCUUGGGAAAUCUGGCAGCUUAACUGUCAGGCUUUCAGGAGAUACUGUCUGGCUCGAGGCCGGGAGAGGUGAGAGGUACUUCAGGGGUAGGGGUGAAAUCUUGUAAUCCUUGAAGGACC